RNAcentral lists this ribosomal RNA (504 nucleotides) under uncultured bacterium. RNAcentral's name for it is "partial 16S ribosomal RNA". It matches the Rfam family "Bacterial small subunit ribosomal RNA", at positions 29 to 523 of the family's 1533-position model. The record is from RNAcentral.
AUUGAACGCUGGCGGCAGGCCUAACACAUGCAAGUCGAGCGGUAGCACAGGGAGCUUGCUCCUGGGUGACGAGCGGCGGACGGGUGAGUAACGUCUGGGAAACUGCCCGAUGGAGGGGGAUAACUACUGGAAACGGUAGCUAAUACCGCAUAACGUCGCGAGACCAAAGUGGGGGACCUUCGGGCCUCACACCAUCGGAUGUGCCCAGAUGGGAUUAGCUAGUAGGUGGGGUAAUGGCUCACCUAGGCGACGAUCCCUAGCUGGUCUGAGAGGAUGACCAGCCACACUGGAACUGAGACACGGUCCAGACUCCUACGGGAGGCAGCAGUGGGGAAUAUUGCACAAUGGGCGCAAGCCUGAUGCAGCCAUGCCGCGUGUAUGAAGAAGGCCUUCGGGUUGUAAAGUACUUUCAGCGGGGAGGAAGGCGGUGAGGUUAAUAACCUUGCCGAUUGACGUUACCCGCAGAAGAAGCACCGGCUAACUCCGUGCCAGCCGCCGCGGUAA